RNAcentral lists this ribosomal RNA (367 nucleotides) under Candidatus Barnesiella excrementigallinarum. RNAcentral's name for it is "bacterial SSU rRNA". It matches the Rfam family "Bacterial small subunit ribosomal RNA", at positions 1 to 357 of the family's 1533-position model. The record is from RNAcentral. Lineage: Bacteria; Pseudomonadati; Bacteroidota; Bacteroidia; Bacteroidales; Barnesiellaceae.
ACAACGAAGAGUUUGAUCCUGGCUCAGGAUGAACGCUAGCGACAGGCCUAACACAUGCAAGUCGAGGGGCAUCAGGGAGGUAGCAAUACCUCUGCUGGCGACCGGCGCACGGGUGAGUAACACGUAUGCAAUCUGCCUGUAACAGGGGGAUAACCCGGAGAAAUCCGGACUAAUACCCCAUACCAUAACGAGCUCGCAUGAGGGUGUUAUGAAAGAGAGCAAUUUUGGUUACAGAUGAGCAUGCGCUCCAUUAGCCAGUUGGCGGGGUAACGGCCCACCAAAGCGACGAUGGAUAGGGGUUCUGAGAGGAAGGUCCCCCACAUUGGAACUGAGACACGGUCCAAACUCCUACGGGAGGCAGCAGUGA